UUCAGCCAAGCCCUCCUUCAGCCACCCUUUUUCAUGGCCCAGGGGCAAAGACCUCCCAGCAGGGGGACGAGGAGGUUGUGUGGACAAACUGCUCCUGAGAGAAGGAUGCCGCAGCUGGGCCUGUCCUGGCUGGGCCUGGGGCCGGUGGCCGCCUCCCCGUGGCUGCUGCUGCUGCUGGUCGGAGCCUCCUGGCUCCUGGCCCGCGUCCUGGCCUGGACCUACGCCUUCUAUGGCACCUGCAGCCGCCUCCGCUGUUUCCCGCAGCCCCCGACGCGGAGCUGGUUCUGGGGUCACCUGGGCCUGGUCACUCCCACAGAGCAGGGGAUGCGGGUCCUGACUCAGCUGGUGGCCACCUACCCUCAGAGCUUUAAGACCUGGAUGGGCCCCAUCUCCCCCAUCAUCACUUUGUGCCACCCUGACACUAUCCGGUCUGUCCUCAGCGCCUCAGCCACCAUUGCACCCAAGGACAUGUUCUUCUACAGCUUCCUGAAGCCCUGGCUGGGGGAUGGACUCCUGCUGAGUGCUGGUGACAAGUGGAGCCACCACCGUCGCAUGCUGACUCCUGCCUUCCAUUUCAACAUCCUGAAGCCCUACGUGAAGGUUUUCAACAAGAGCACAAACAUCAUGCACGCCAAGUGGCAGCGCCUGGCCUCGGAGGGCAGCACCUGCCUGGACAUGUUUGAGCACAUCAGCCUCAUGACCUUGGACAGUCUGCAGAAAUGCAUCUUCAGCUUCGACAGCCAUUGUCAGGAGAAGCCCAGUGAACACAUUGCUGCCAUCUUGGAGCUCACUGCCCUUCUGGCAAAAAGGCCCCAGCACAUCCUACAGCACAUAGACUUCCUGUACUAUCUCACCACCAGUGGGCACCACUUCCUCAAGUUCUGCCGCCUGGUGCACGACUUCACAGAUGCAGUCAUCCACGAGCGACGCCGAACUCUCCUCAAUCAGGAUACUGAAGACUUCCUCAAGGCCAAAGCCAAGAGCAAGACUUUGGACUUCAUUGAUGUGCUCCUGCUGAGCAAGGAUGAAGAUGGGAAGCAGUUGUCAGAUGAGGACAUAAGAGCGGAAGCUGACACCUUCAUGUUUGAGGGCCAUGACACCACGGCCAGUGGUCUCUCCUGGGUCCUGUACCACCUUGCGAGGCACCCGGAACACCAGGAGCGCUGCCGGCAGGAGGUGCGAGAGCUGCUGAGGGACCGCGAGCCUAUGGAGAUUGAAUGGGACUACCUGGCCCAACUGCCCUUCCUGACCAUGUGCAUUAAGGAGAGUCUGUGGCUGCAUCAUCCAGUCACUGUCAUCUCCCACUGCUGCACCCAGGGCAUUGUGCUCCCAGAUGGCCGGGUCAUCCCCAAAGGUGUCAUCUGCCUCAUCAGUAUUUUCGGGACCCAUCACAACCCAGCUGUGUGGCCAGACCCUGAGGUGUAUGACCCCUCCUGCUUUGACCCAGAAAACGUCAAGGAGCGGUCACCUCUGGCUUUUGUUCCCUUCUCUGCAGGGCCCAGGAACUGCAUCGGGCAGACCUUCGCCAUGACCGAGAUGAAUGACCGAGAUGAAGGUGGUCCUGGCGCUCAUGCUGCUGCGCUUCCGCAUCCUGCCUGACGACAGGGAGCCGCGCAGGAAGCCAGAAAUUAUCCUUCUAGCCGAUGGCUGUGGAGCCGCUGAGCACAGGCCAGCAGUGACUCAGCGCUGCAGGCUUAAGACCCACUCCAACCCUCCCACCUGCCUUUGCAGACGCCCAGGAAUAAAACUGCGUCACCUGUG
This is an RNA transcript of Lemur catta (Ring-tailed lemur), 1761 nucleotides long. It is a transcript of the gene named cytochrome P450 4F2-like, with no coding region annotated. Lineage: Eukaryota; Metazoa; Chordata; Mammalia; Primates; Lemuridae. The record is from RefSeq and is a predicted model, not a curated record. The transcript is spliced from 13 exons.